Taeniopygia guttata (zebra finch) is the source of this 1468-nucleotide non-coding RNA. Lineage: Eukaryota; Metazoa; Chordata; Aves; Passeriformes; Estrildidae. The record is from RefSeq and is a predicted model, not a curated record.
GGAGCGGCCGGGACCGACCCGGGACAGCGGGAGCGGCCGGGACCGGCCCGGGACAGCGGGAGCGGCCCGGGACAGCGGGAGCGGCCGGGACCGACCCGGGACAGCGGGACCGGCCCGGGACAGCGGGAGCGGCCCGGGACAGCGGGACCGGCCGGUGCUGCCGCCCCGUGGGGAGCGCCCGGCACUGCAGCCCGGCACGGCGCGGGGCCGGCGUGGAGCGGCGUCCCGGGAAUGCUGAGAGAUCCCGGGAAUGCUGAGAGAUCCCGGGAAUGCUGGGGCGUCCCGGGAAUGCUGAGAGAUCCCGGGAAUGCUGGGGCGUCCCGGGAAUGCUGAGAGAUCCCGAGAAUGCUGGGACGUCCCGGGAAUGCUGAGAGAUCCCGGGAAUGCUGGGACGUCCCGGGAAUGCUGAGAGAUCCCGGGAAUGCUGGGGCGUCCCGGGAAUGCUGAGAGAUCCCGGGAAUGCUGAGAGAUCCCGGGAAUGCUGAGACAUCCCGGGAAUGCUGGGGCGUCCCGGGAAUGCUGAGAGAUCCCGGGAAUAUUGGCGUAUCGCGGGGAAUGCUGAGACAUCCCGGGAAUGCUGAGGCGUCCCCUGCCUGGGGCACUCGGCAGCACAUCCCUGGUGCGAUGCAGAAAAAGAAAAGUCCUGGGUUAGUGGGAGGAUGUUUCUGGAAUGGAGCCGGGAGAGGUGCUGCUCAUGCCAUGGAAUCACGGGCUGCUUUGGCUUGGAAGGGAGCACAGGAUCAUUAACACUCUCUGCUCUGAUUGCACAGCAAAGAACUUCCCAAACUGCCUCCUCACCCUCAUGGACUGCAGGAGUGUCUUCCAUAGCUCCUGUUCAGGAAUGGCAGUGGCUGUGGGGAGCUCUGGCAGGAGCAGCUGCAGACCAGCAGGGAAACAUUUAAACAUGAGGUGCCAAAAAGAACUGGAGCUUCUGCACAAUGAAAUCUGCAGGAAUCCAAUUUAAAAUCCCCCUGGAUUGUCACCAGUCCAACGUCCAUGGACUGGUCUCUGUGGCCAGGAGUGUCCAGUCCUGCUGGAAAUGCACUGGACCAGGAUGUCAUUUUCACUUUAUGCAGGUAAAGAACCUCUGGGUGACACCCAGUGACUGGAAGGACCAGACUGGGCUCCCAGGGCACUAAUUCCAGGUGUUCUUGCUUUGGGAAUAGCACAGGAACCUUUCCCUUGCCCAGAGGAGCAGCAAGUGCCUUCCUUAGUCCACAAAUCCCCAGGAUGGACCACAGAGAAAAUAACAGGAAUGUGGAAAUCCCCUGCACAGGGAGUUUGUGGUGCUCUGGAUUACAUUUUGGAUUUACAAUAUUAAAGGGGGGGAGGUGUAGGGUUUAUUUCUCUUUCUCCUGUUCGUUGUUGUUCUCAGUGUUCUUGUUGCUCUCACUGUCAUUAUGUGUUGUCAUUAAUAUUAAAUGAUUGUAUUUGACUGGUUUCCGUUAUUAAAGUGUUGUGAGCUGGA